GACGUAGGGUGCGAGCGUUGUCCGGAUUUAUUGGGCGUAAAGAGCUCGUAGGCGGCUCGUCGCGUCGACCGUGAAACCCCCGCAGCUUAACUGCGGGCCUGCGGUUGAUACGGGCGGGCUAGAGUUCGGUAGGGGAGACUGGAAUUCCUGGUGUAGCGGUGAAAUGCGCAGAUAUCAGGAGGAACACCGAUGGCGAAGGCAGGUCUCUGGGCCACUACUGACGCUGAGAAGCGAAAGCAUGGGGAGCGAACAGG
This 254-nucleotide ribosomal RNA is filed under the name uncultured bacterium. RNAcentral's name for it is "partial 16S ribosomal RNA". It matches the Rfam family "Bacterial small subunit ribosomal RNA", at positions 524 to 776 of the family's 1533-position model. The record is from RNAcentral.